GUGCAGCAGGCGCGAAUCUUCGGCAAUGGGCGAAAGCCUGACCGAGCGACGCCGCGUGCGGGAAGAAGGCCUUCGGGUUGUAAACCGCUUUUCUCAGGGAACAAUCCCGCUUUAGCGGGAUGAGGGUACCUGAGGAAUAAGGGGGGCUAAUCACGUGCCAGCAGCAGCGGUAAUACGUGACCCCCGAGCGUUAAUCCGGAUUUUAC
This 206-nucleotide ribosomal RNA is filed under the name uncultured microorganism. RNAcentral's name for it is "partial 16S ribosomal RNA". It matches the Rfam family "Bacterial small subunit ribosomal RNA", at positions 346 to 555 of the family's 1533-position model. The record is from RNAcentral.